This is a long non-coding RNA of Physella acuta, 1430 nucleotides long. RefSeq lists it as uncharacterized. NCBI's taxonomy places the organism in Eukaryota, Metazoa, Mollusca, Gastropoda, Physidae. The record is from RefSeq and is a predicted model, not a curated record.
CGCUAAUGAGUGUGUUUGAUAUUUUUGUUAAGGUAUCUUGCGGUGUUUGAUGGGGGGAUGGCAUAAGAAAGUCCACACCAAGCAAAAUAGCCAACAAAAAUAGUUAGUCUGCAUGCUGUGCUAAGAAAAUUUGUGGAAAUAGGAUUGGGAAAACUUCAUCUCAAUUUGAAAAAUGUUGCAGUUUGUUGAUGUCAAAUAAAAACAUGCGAAUAAUUUCAUGCACUGACUGUUACCCUGUUUGGAAAUGGGCAGCAAUUGUCUGUUAGAACAACACAUCUCCAUAUGUUUAGUUUAUGGCAGAGGACACAUCAGGAGCAUUUUUACUGCAAUUGUAAAAAGCAGCCCAUAGUACUUUUCAAAAUGGGUCCACAGGCAGACCUUCCCACAUCACCAAAAGUAGCUUAUCAUUUUGAUUUCCUCAUACAAAUGAGAAGUCUGCUAAUAUAAUGCUAAUACAUCAUUGCUGUAGACACCAAAGACCAAUUCAGUGAAUGGAAGGAGUUGGGUUAACAGAUGCUGAAGAUAUGGCUGUGGGCGAAGAUUUUCAAACUUAAUAAAAAGAUGACAUCUGAAACUAAACAUGACCUUUUUUAAUGGACCUACUCUCUACGGAGAACAAAAGAAUAUAGAGUUAAUCUAGGAUCUUAUUGUUCAUCACCAUUACUAUAAGGAUCAAACUUUUAUAAUCAAGGAGGCUCAUCCUGGUAGUUUGUGAAUAAGAUAGCACUGCACAAAAACUUUUUAAAUUUGUAUAUCCUAUUGUUAUUUGGAUAAUAUUUUAUUAUUUCAAUAAAAUACGUUUUAAAAAGAGCAGUGAAGAUAAAUCUUAGUUUCAUUGCGCAAUGUUAGUAAUAUAAUUGGUCAGCAGAAUAGAACUACGGGUACAUAUGUAACAAGUACCUGUAUGUGACCCCUAUAUGCCAGCAUUGACUUCACUUGCCAUUUUUGUUUUGGAUACAUUUUCUUUCUUAACCACCCAUAUAAAAUGAAGUUUAAUUUCAUUAAAUAUAAAGAAAGUAUCUUUUACUUUUGAGUAAUAUUUUAAGUUAUUCUCCAACUUAAAAAUCCAAAUAUGCUUGGACUAAAAUUUCCUUUUCAAACCUGACGGUCUAUGGGGCAAGUGAAGUAGAGUUCACUUGUUUCUGUGACCUCGGAAUGUGAAGAGAUAGUGUGGUCAGCAAUAUGCCCAGCCACCUUUACUUUCCCUAACGUGAGUUAGGACUAACCACCCUAGAAUUUAUCAGCAAUUAAAUAAUGUCCCUAAAAUUUUGUAUAUUUUGUCACCUUUCCAUAUGAAUGCUAUGUGAAUUGUUUUUGUAAAUAAGCACAUCGUCGUUAAAAACCUGCUGGUUGUUAUACAUAAUUCAUCAAUUUUAUGUAAUUAGAAGAACGCCAGUUUAUAGCGAUUACAUAGGCAUGUUUAAACUGAU